RNA transcript from Mauremys mutica (yellowpond turtle), 1076 nucleotides. It is a transcript of the gene named myosin light chain 1, with no coding region annotated. Lineage: Eukaryota; Metazoa; Chordata; Testudines; Geoemydidae. The record is from RefSeq and is a predicted model, not a curated record. The transcript has 7 exons.
AGAAGAAGAAGAAAAGGGAGGGGGGAAGGACCACUCUCUCAGGGAUUCAAGAAGCCCUCGGCCAAUUCUUCCAGCCCAUCUGCUCUUCUUCUUUUCCAACCAUCUCAAUCAUGUCCUUCAGUGCCGACCAGGUUGCCGACUACAAGGAUGCCUUCCUCCUCUUUGACAGGACAGGUGAAGGCAAGAUCGUCUUAAGCCAGGUUGGUGACAUCAUCCGUGCUCUGGGACAGAACCCUACAAAUGGUGAGAUCAAGAAGAUCCUGGGCAACCCCAGCAAGGAAGAGAUGAAUGCCAAGAAAAUUACAUUUGAAGAAUUCCUGCCCAUGAUGCAGGCAGCUGCCAACAACAAGGAACAGGGUACCUUUGAAGACUUUGUUGAAGGUCUGCGUGUCUUUGACAAGGAGGGCAAUGGCACAGUCAUGGGUGCUGAACUCCGUCAUGUACUGGCUACUCUGGGGGAGAAGAUGACGGAGGAAGAAGUAGAAGAACUGCUGAAAGGACAGGAAGACUCUAAUGGCUGCAUCAACUAUGAAGGUGCUUUGUUUAGUGGCUUUCUAUCUGCAUGCAGCCAGCGGUAAUGGGUGGUGGUUCCCAAGUGAUGAUAACUACCAGUCUCCUGCUAUACAAAUAAGGGGAGGGAGUGUUGUCCAGUGGCAGAAGAAAGGGACUGGGAGUGAGAAGUCUCUGGUUCCAGUCUCAGCUCUACAACUGACUUGUGAAAAAGUCUAGACUCUGAAGACAAGAAUGCACUUGAGAUUUGGCUCAGUAAAAUUCUUCUUCCAUCCAGCACCAUCAAUAUGGAAACCACACAGGACUGUACUAUAUGCCUCCUACCACACCAAUUCUUUUUUUAAUCAGUAGGUGUCUCCCUCUCAAUCAUACUCAUGCUUCACAAAUUGAACAUUUGAGGCAAGCUAGAUGGAAUAAAUUGUACAGGUAUCAAGCCCGUAUAGUUCUCUUUCCUUGUUUACCAUGAAGCAAUGUAUCCCCUUGAAAAAUGUGACAAUAAAUCCUGUGGUCAGUCUGUGGCUAUAAAGUCUUUCCUUUCUACCAAGCUGUUCAAAUCCCAUUCACAA